GAAAGCUACUGUCAUUUAAAGAACGCGAUACUCCUUUCAAAACAAAUUUUGGAUCUAGACCUUUAGAUCAAGAUGUCUAACCAAAUUUAAAUUUAUUUCAUUUUUAACUUGAAAAAUUAUAAUGGUCAAACUAGAGUGCUCCUCUCUGGCCAGCGAGCUAGUAAACCUUGCCUGGUUGUUAUUGGUGGUGCAAUAUCACGCUCACUAGACUCGCGGUCUUUUCACCACUAGAUCUGCAAUGUCUACACCUGUUAGAUCAUCAGCUUCGACUGGAUCAGCAGCGUCACCAAACCUGAGCCUACAACGCCUGAACUCCCCCCCCCCUUCUGUCAGCGAGAAGGAAUCUCAGUAGUGCCCACUAUAAACGACCUAAAGCUCAGUGCCCACUACCAAUUACCUACGGUCCAGUGCCCAGAUACUUGCCCAGUGUUCAGCGCCUACUGUCCAGCAUAAGCUGCCCAGUCUAUGCUCCAGCUGUCCGCUGCCCAAUAUCUAUUGCCAACAACCUACGGUCCUGAGAAUACCCUUCCCACCUUUCGCUACAGACGUACUCCUUUUCGACUCAAGCCUCAUCCCUCUACUAGAAGAUUCAGCUCUUGCAUCUACCAAACGAGUCCAGCGGCCAACCGACCAACGAAAAAAGAUUAGAACUAAAAAUAGAAACACUUAUCCACUCCUUCAUAUGCAAUCAAUGAUGAAAUUAAUCCACCAGAAUCCUUUUUGACACACUACCCAAGCUAGUAGUGAUAUUGUUGUAAAAUUAAAUUGUUUUUUUUUUUUAUUCAA
Long non-coding RNA from Biomphalaria glabrata, 786 nucleotides. RefSeq lists it as uncharacterized. The transcript is spliced from 2 exons. NCBI's taxonomy places the organism in Eukaryota, Metazoa, Mollusca, Gastropoda, Planorbidae. The record is from RefSeq and is a predicted model, not a curated record.